GUAGGGAAUAUUGGGCAAUGGAUGCAAGUCUGACCCAGCCAUCCCGCGUGCCGGAAGAAGGCCCUCAGGGUUGUAAACGGCUUUUGACGGUGAAGAAUCGACAGGAUGCGUCCUGUUUUGACGGUAGCCGUUGAAUAAGCACCGGCUAACUCCGUGCCAGCAGCCGCGGUAAUACGGAGGGUGCGAGCGUUGUCCGGAUUUAUUGGGUUUAAAGGGUGCGUAGGCUGGAAGGUCAGUCAGCGGUGAAAAGCUAUCGCUUAACGAUAGUCUUGCCGCAGAUACUUCCUUUCUUGGAUGAGGAGGAGGCCACUGGAACGGAUGGUGUAGCGGUGAAAUGCAUAGAUAUCAUCCAGAACACCGAUUGCGAAGGCAGGUGGCUGUACCUUAAUCGACGCUGAUGCACGAAAGCAUGGGGAGCAAACAGGAUUAGAAACCCUAGUAGUCC
RNAcentral lists this ribosomal RNA (445 nucleotides) under uncultured bacterium. Its description in RNAcentral is "partial 16S ribosomal RNA". It matches the Rfam family "Bacterial small subunit ribosomal RNA", at positions 354 to 796 of the family's 1533-position model. The record is from RNAcentral.